GGCGAAAUUGUAGUGCAAGUGAAGAUGCUUGCUACCCGCGAUUGGACGGAAAGACCCCGUAGAGCUUUACUGUAGCUUAGCAUUGAAUCUCGGUAUUGUCUGUACAGGAUAGGUGGGAGACUUGGAAGCUUGGGCGUCAGCCUGAGUGGAGUCAUCCUUGGGAUACCACCCUGACAGUACUGGGGUUCUAACCGGCGGCCAUGAAUCUGGUCACGGGACAUUGUUAGGUGGGCAG
Molecule: ribosomal RNA, 235 nt
Filed under: Clostridium botulinum
Lineage: Bacteria; Bacillati; Bacillota; Clostridia; Eubacteriales; Clostridiaceae
Description: partial 23S ribosomal RNA
Rfam family: Bacterial large subunit ribosomal RNA
Source: RNAcentral